This 312-nucleotide ribosomal RNA is filed under the name Triticum aestivum (bread wheat). RNAcentral's name for it is "partial small subunit ribosomal RNA". Lineage: Eukaryota; Viridiplantae; Streptophyta; Magnoliopsida; Poales; Poaceae. The record is from RNAcentral.
AUGAAACUCCAUAACUUCUUUGCUCCCGCUUUGGCCCAAAGCUUGGCCUCAUCUUUAAUCAGGCGUAAAAGGAUAGGUGGCGAAGCGUUUUUUUGUCAGAAUGUGCAGGCAUUACGCUCGUUCCAAAUCGUCCAACACACAAGCAUGGUGAGGAAAGCCAUAGCUUUCCGGUUAGGUAUGUUAUCGCCUGAAGAGUUGAUCCACCAAUCCUUGACGGAAUCUUAUAGGUGCUACAAAGAGGUGUCAAUGUGUCCAAGUUGUAGCCAAGCCUUGACAAUGUUCCAGAGGCGAAGGGUGAAAGGGCAUUUAUAG